Molecule: transfer RNA, 87 nt
Filed under: Advenella faeciporci
Lineage: Bacteria; Pseudomonadati; Pseudomonadota; Betaproteobacteria; Burkholderiales; Alcaligenaceae
Also listed under: 5 other names
Description: tRNA-Leu
Rfam family: tRNA
About the family: Transfer RNA (tRNA) molecules are approximately 80 nucleotides in length. Their secondary structure includes four short double-helical elements and three loops (D, anti-codon, and T loops).
Source: RNAcentral
GCCCAGGUGGCGGAAUUGGUAGACGCACUAGGUUCAGGUCCUAGCGGGAGCAAUCCUGUGGAAGUUCGAGUCUUCUCCUGGGCACCA